AUGGCGCCUCGCGCCGGCGGUCAGACCUACGGCUUCCCGAUCUACUGCGCCUCCUGGCUCCCACUCGCACACAUCAUCAAGCCCUCCCCAUCCGCCGACGACGUCGUGGAUGCGGACGCGUCCCCGGCCCCGUCCUCCCCACCUCCGCCCCCCAUGGUGGUUCUUGGUGGAGGCGGAGGCGAGGGCCGGAGCGGCGUGCCCAACGCGCUGGUCGUCGCCGCCCUCGACCCCGCCGCUGCAGGGGCGCCUCCAGCGCUCUCCCCCGAGCCCGUGUUUAGGCUGGGGACAGAGGAGCAGGUACCAUACAGGAUGGCCGUACACCCCCGCGGCGAUGGCGUCCUCUGCGCCUUCCCCAACGGCUGCAGGUUGGUGCGGUGGGAAUCACCAGAAGGAGAUGAUCCACAUAGCCUAGUUUUGAGAUCUGACCAGGAGGCUCUAGUGAAGCUAAAUGAUGUUGGUUUACAGUUGGCUGUGUCAUUUAGUGGAGAGGGUUCAAUACUUGCCACUGGUGGCGAGGAUGGACAUUUGAGGGUCUUCAAAUGGCCUGGCAUGGAAACCGUUAUUGAAGAACCUGAUGCUAAAACAUCUGUUAAGGAUCUUAGUUUCAGUUCCGAUGAGAUGUUUCUAGUUGUGAACAGGAGCAGUGGCCCAUCUAGAGUUUGGGAUUUAAAGUCAUCUGAAGCUGUGGCUAAUCUGCCAAGAGAACAAGGAGAAAUAUUUGGCUUCUGCCGAUUUUCUACUAAGUCUGACAAUAGUCAGAUUCUCUUUGUUACAGCAAUGCAAGGUGAUUACGGCAAAAUAAUAUCUUGGAAUACAACCUCAUGGACAAGAAUUGGAUCAAAGAAAGUAACCCGUGAUGCGAUUUCAGCUUUUUCAGUCUCGCCUGAUGGUACACUUCUAGCAAUUGGAACUAUUGAGGGAAGCAUCAGUGUUCUAGGUCCAAGAGACAUGCGAGUGGUUCUAACAGUUAAAAAGGCGCAUCUUGGCAUUGUUACUACAUUAGCGUUUUCUCAAGAUUCAAGGGCCUUGCUGUCGACUUCCUUUGACUCAACUACAAGGGUGACAUCGACUGAAUCACCCAAGAGCGAUGGUAUAAGCCUCUGGUCCAUGGUACUAGCUAUUAUACUCGGAAUUUUGGUAUAUUACUAUAUGCAGCACAAAGAAGAUCUCUUAGCAAUGUUGCCACAAUGA
This 1191-nucleotide ribosomal RNA is filed under the name Triticum aestivum (bread wheat). Its description in RNAcentral is "partial small subunit ribosomal RNA". Lineage: Eukaryota; Viridiplantae; Streptophyta; Magnoliopsida; Poales; Poaceae. The record is from RNAcentral.